AGAUUGAAGAGCUGUGGUUUGUCAGAUAUUGGCCUUGAUUAUCUGGCAGCAGCACUGAAGUCCAACCCCUCGUAUCCCACAGAGGUGGACCUGAGUGGAACCUACAGCAACCUGAAGGUUCAGGAGUGAAGCAUCUGUGUGGUUUUCGGGAGAAUCCACGAUGUCGAUUUGAAACUCUGAGAUUGGAGCGCUGUGAUUUGUCAGAGAUCAGCUGUGAUUAUCUGGAAGCAGUGCUGAAGCUCAACCCUUCGUAUCCCAGAGAGGUGGAGCUGAGCGACCACAAGCUUCAGGAUUCAGGAGUGAAGCAGCUGUGUGUUCUUCUGGAGAAUCCACAACAUCAAAUUGAAACUCUGAGAUUGUGGAGCUGUGGUUUGUCAGAGAUCAGCUGUGAUUAU
Non-coding RNA from Maylandia zebra (zebra mbuna), 395 nucleotides. Lineage: Eukaryota; Metazoa; Chordata; Actinopteri; Cichliformes; Cichlidae. The record is from RefSeq and is a predicted model, not a curated record.